Molecule: small nuclear RNA, 157 nt
Organism: Cricetulus griseus (Chinese hamster)
Lineage: Eukaryota; Metazoa; Chordata; Mammalia; Rodentia; Cricetidae
Gene: U1
Rfam family: U1 spliceosomal RNA
About the family: U1 is a small nuclear RNA (snRNA) component of the spliceosome (involved in pre-mRNA splicing).
Source: Ensembl
AGGCCUGUUUCAGAUACUAUGAUCACGACAGUGCUUUUCCCAGGACGAGGCUUAUUCAUUGCACUCCAGAUGUGCUGACCCCUGCGAUUUCCCCAAAUGGGAGAAACUGGACUGCAUAAUUUGUAGUAGUAGGGGACUGCGUUCGAGAUCUCCCCUC